Molecule: ribosomal RNA, 408 nt
Filed under: uncultured bacterium
Lineage: Bacteria
Description: partial 16S ribosomal RNA
Rfam family: Bacterial small subunit ribosomal RNA
Source: RNAcentral
GACGAACGCUGGCGGCGUGCCUAAUACAUGCAAGUCGACCUUAGGGGUGAGUGGGUGAGUAACACCUGGCCAACCUGCCCAUCAGAAGGGGAUAACACGUGGAAACAGGUGCUAAUACCGUAUACUGAUGGAUGGACCUGCGGUGCAUUAGGGUGUUGGUGGGGUAACGGCUCACCAAGGCCACGAUGCAUAGCGGGCCUGAGAGGGUGAUCGGCCACAUUGGGACUGAGACAGGGCCCAAACUCCUACGGGAGGCAGCAGGAGGGAAUCUUCGGCAAUGGACGAAAGUCUGACGGAGAAACGCCGCGUGAGUGAAGAAGGUUUUCGGAUCGUAAAACUCUGUUGUCAGAGAAGCGGUACCUAACCAGAAAGCCACGGCUAACUACGUGCCAGCAGCCGCGGUAAUAC